This 460-nucleotide ribosomal RNA is filed under the name uncultured bacterium. RNAcentral describes it as "partial 16S ribosomal RNA". It matches the Rfam family "Bacterial small subunit ribosomal RNA", at positions 338 to 795 of the family's 1533-position model. The record is from RNAcentral.
CCUACGGGAGGCAGCAGUGAGGAAUAUUGGUCAAUGGGCGCGAGCCUGAACCAGCCAAGUAGCGUGAAGGAUGACUGCCCUACGGGCUGUAAACUUCUUUUAUAAAGGAAUAAAUAGAGGCACGUGUGCCUUUUUGUAUGUACUUUAUGAAUAAGGAUCGGCUAACUACGUGCCAGCAGCCGCGGUAAUACGGAGGAUCCGAGCGUUAUCCGGAUUUAUUGGGUUUAAAGGGAGCGUAGAUGGGUUGUUAAGUCAGUUGUGAAAGGUUGCGGCUCAACCGUAAAAUUGCAAUUGAUACUGGCAGUCUUGAGUACAGUUGAGGUAGGUGGAAUUCGUGGUGUAGCGGUGAAAUGCGUAGAUAUCACGAAGAACUCCGAUUGCGAAGGCAGCUUACUAAACUGCCACUGACAUUGAUGCGCGAAAGUGUGGGUAUCAAACAGGAUUAGAUACCCUUGUAGUC